CGGGCGCUGCCCGGUGCGUUAAGCCGUAUAUUUCCCUGGGGCCAAUAUCGACCUCUAGGGAACUGUCCCUGUCCUUAGCCCUGGCUUUGGACACACGGUGCCCACCUGCUGAGAGCAGGCCGCAGAGGAACUCAUGCGGCAACGGCCACGGCGGCUCCGUU
RNAcentral lists this non-coding RNA (161 nucleotides) under Rhodospirillales bacterium. Its description in RNAcentral is "6S RNA". It matches the Rfam family "6S / SsrS RNA". Rfam says of the family: E. coli 6S RNA was the first non coding RNA to be sequenced, but its function was unknown until recently. It consists of 184 nucleotides that fold into an extended hairpin structure with a large single-stranded internal bulge. The 6S RNA specifically associates with RNA polymerase holoenzyme containing the sigma70 specificity factor. Lineage: Bacteria; Pseudomonadati; Pseudomonadota; Alphaproteobacteria; Rhodospirillales. The record is from RNAcentral.